Molecule: long non-coding RNA, 657 nt
Organism: Pipra filicauda (Wire-tailed manakin)
Lineage: Eukaryota; Metazoa; Chordata; Aves; Passeriformes; Pipridae
Exons: 3
Source: RefSeq, a predicted model, not a curated record
AGGGGGUCCGAACACUUUCCCCGCUGCUGAGUAAUCAAUCCCCUGCCCUCAUGCCCUGUCGCAUCCCAGUCCCCAGAGGUGUUUUUGAACCAAGAAAUGAGCCGCUUGGUCAGCGCCAAGGGCUGCGGAGCUGUCGCAGAUCUGUCUCCACCACAGAAAUUGCCUCCUGUUUUUCAGCUCACUGCUCUCUAUCUGUUGGGCAUGAGCCUAAAUUUCGGAGCUGCUUCUGUCGCAGUGAUGAGGACAGGAGCCGGUUUUGAUGGCACGCUUUUCCAUGGAUUCAGAACCGUGGGGAAUCCGUAGCCAAUAAAUGAACAAUGCACCAGUUGUGGGAAACCAGCCCAGUUCUGGCCACAGUAAAUCUGUGCCUUCGAUAUUGCCAUCCUGCUAUGGGAAUGCUGCAGCAAACGAACCUAACAGCCCCCACAUCUACAGGGCCAUCAUCAGCACUGGAAAACCUCUCAGCACACACUGAUUGCAGCACUGAUGGCAAAUAUCAGGAUGGGUGAACAAGGAUUAGCUCUCACAGUGUUACUGGAUGGGCAGUAUCUCCAGAUAACAAACCUUGUUAGGAAAAGCUCUGCUAAAACCAGAUAAAAAGAACCAACUGUGAUAUUCAAAUGUAAUAGCAUUGAAAAUAUUCUUGUUCUGCAUUUA